CAUUAAAAACUUCAUCAAUUUGUACAGUUAAAAAACUGGCAUGGCUUCCGAAUACCACGUAGUAACAUGUGGUUGCCAUGUGUAUCUCAUGCUGACGUACUUGGACUAAUUUUUAACAAUAAAAAUGGAUGAAAAUUUUAACA
Molecule: non-coding RNA, 143 nt
Organism: Gossypium arboreum
Lineage: Eukaryota; Viridiplantae; Streptophyta; Magnoliopsida; Malvales; Malvaceae
Source: Rfam